This 337-nucleotide ribosomal RNA is filed under the name uncultured bacterium. RNAcentral's name for it is "bacterial SSU rRNA". It matches the Rfam family "Bacterial small subunit ribosomal RNA", at positions 457 to 793 of the family's 1533-position model. The record is from RNAcentral.
UAGCAUAUUCAUUUGACGUUAGCUGCAGAAGAAGCACCGGCUAACUCCGUGCCAGCAGCCGCGGUAAUACGGAGGGUGCGAGCGUUAAUCGGAAUUACUGGGCGUAAAGCGCAUGCAGGUGGUUUGUUAAGUCAGAUGUGAAAGCCCCGGGGCUCAACCUCGGAAUAGCAUUUGAAACUGGCAGACUAGAGUACUGUAGAGGGGGUAGAAUUUCAGGUGUAGCGGUGAAAUGCGUAGAGAUCUGAAGGAAUACCGGUGGCGAAGGCGGCCCCCUGGACAGAUACUGACACUCAGAUGCGAAAGCGUGGGGAGCAAACAGGAUUAGAUACCCUGGUAG